RNAcentral lists this ribosomal RNA (448 nucleotides) under uncultured bacterium. RNAcentral's name for it is "bacterial SSU rRNA". It matches the Rfam family "Bacterial small subunit ribosomal RNA", at positions 29 to 524 of the family's 1533-position model. The record is from RNAcentral.
AACGAACGCUGGCGGCAUGCCUAACACAUGCAAGUCGAACGAAGUCUUCGGACUUAGUGGCGCACGGGUGCGUAACGCGUGGGAAUCUGCCCUUGGGUGCGGAAUAACUUCUCGAAAGGGAUGCUAAUACCGCAUAAUGUCGUAAGACCAAAGAUUUAUCGCCCAAGGAUGAGCCCGCGUAAGAUUAGCUAGUUGGUGGGGUAAAAGCCUACCAAGGCGACGAUCUUUAGCUGGUCUGAGAGGAUGAUCAGCCACACUGGGACUGAGACACGGCCCAGACUCCUACGGGAGGCAACAGUGGGGAAUAUUGGACAAUGGGCGAAAGCCUGAUCCAGCAAUGCCGCGUGAGUGAUGAAGGCCCUAGGGUGUAAGCUCUUUUACCAGGGAUGAUAAUGACAGUACCUGGAGAAUAAGCUCCGGCUAACUCCGUGCCAGCAGCCGCGGUAAU